Molecule: ribosomal RNA, 174 nt
Filed under: uncultured bacterium
Lineage: Bacteria
Description: partial 16S ribosomal RNA
Rfam family: Bacterial small subunit ribosomal RNA
Source: RNAcentral
GGAAUUGCUAGUAAUGGCAGGUCAGAAUACUGCCGUGAAUACGUUCCCGGGCCUUGUACACACCGCCCGUCACACCAUGAGAGUUGGGAAUGCCCGAAGCCCGUGAGCUAACCGAAAGGGAGCAGCGGUCGAAGGUAGAAUCAAUGAUUGGGGGUGAAGUCGUAACAAGGUAUC